CGGAAGCCGGGUUACGGUGC
RNAcentral lists this small nuclear RNA (20 nucleotides) under Arabidopsis thaliana (thale cress). RNAcentral's name for it is "snRNA_08864". The record is from RNAcentral. Lineage: Eukaryota; Viridiplantae; Streptophyta; Magnoliopsida; Brassicales; Brassicaceae.